GACGAACGCUGGCGGCGUGCUUAACACAUGCAAGUCGAACGGAAAGGCCCUGCUUUUGUGGGGUGCUCGAGUGGCGAACGGGUGAGUAACACGUGAGUAACCUGCCCUUGACUUUGGGAUAACUUCAGGAAACUGGGGCUAAUACCGGAUAGGAGCUCCUGCUGCAUGGUGGGGGUUGGAAAGUUUCGGCGGUUGGGGAUGGACUCGCGGCUUAUCAGCUUGUUGGUGGGGUAGUGGCUUACCAAGGCUUUGACGGGUAGCCGGCCUGGGAGGGUGACCGGCCACAUUGGGACUGAGAUACGGCCCAGACUCCAACGGGAGGCAGCAGUGGGGAAUAUUGCACAAGGGGCGGAAGCCUGAUGCAGCAACGCCGCGUGCGGGAUGACGGCCUGCGGGUUGUAAACCGAUUUCGCCUGUGAUGAAGCGUGAGUGACGGUAAUGGGUAAAGAAGCACCGGCUAACUACGUG
This 468-nucleotide ribosomal RNA is filed under the name uncultured bacterium. RNAcentral describes it as "partial 16S ribosomal RNA". It matches the Rfam family "Bacterial small subunit ribosomal RNA", at positions 28 to 507 of the family's 1533-position model. The record is from RNAcentral.